Molecule: long non-coding RNA, 462 nt
Organism: Dermacentor silvarum
Lineage: Eukaryota; Metazoa; Arthropoda; Arachnida; Ixodida; Ixodidae
Exons: 3
Source: RefSeq, a predicted model, not a curated record
GGGCACAUAUGUUGGAACGGAAAUAGAGUUCAACGGUGGCUAAGCAUAUUUUUCAACAGUUGUGUGCUCAUCAAUCAAACUUAAGUUAUUUUACUGUCACGGAACCGCAAGGCUUGCUGGCUUCCAUUGUUUUUGUCUAGUCAAGAAAUUUUACUCAUUCACGGAACCAAAAGGCCUGCUGGCUUCCAUUGUUUUUGUCUAGUCAAGGUAAGUCGCAUGGUUGCAAGCCAGAGCUUGAAUGUAUGCUUAUUCGGUCGCUGUGUUUAUGUGCGUGCACAAUCUCUGCAUUGUUUCCAUACUUUUGGCAUUUGACCAUGUGUAUAUAUGCUGCUACAAAUUUGUUGAUCUUGCUGUAGGGCAUAUGUCUGCAAACAGAUGAACAGGGGCCAAACGGUGUUUGUUUCGCACAGUUUCAUGCACACCUAAUUAAUCUUAAGGUAAACCUGUAGGAGCAUGCAAGGC